This 415-nucleotide ribosomal RNA is filed under the name uncultured Alphaproteobacteria bacterium. RNAcentral describes it as "bacterial SSU rRNA". It matches the Rfam family "Bacterial small subunit ribosomal RNA", at positions 49 to 498 of the family's 1533-position model. The record is from RNAcentral. Lineage: Bacteria; Pseudomonadati; Pseudomonadota; Alphaproteobacteria.
UUAUACAUGCAAGUCGAACGGAGGCCCUAGCUUGCUAGGUGUCCUUAGUGGCGCACGGGUGAGUAACACGUGGGAACAUACCUUAUAGUACGGAAUAACUGCCGGAAACUGUAGCUAAUACCGUAUAUUCCAGCAAUGGGAAAGAUUUAUCGCUAUAAGAUUGGUCCGCGCAAGAUUAGCUUGUUGGUGAGGUAAAAGCUCACCAAGGCAUCGAUCUUUAGCUGGUUUGAGAGGACGAUCAGCCACACUGGGACUGAGACACGGCCCAGACUCCUACGGGAGGCAGCAGUAGGGAAUAUUGGACAAUGGGGGCAACCCUGAUCCAGCAAUGCAGCGUGAGUGACGAAGGCCUUAGGGUUGUAAAACUCUUUCAUCGGUGAGGAUAAUGACAGUAGCCGAAGAAGAAGGACCGGCU